CAAACUCAACCUAAACCCUACCAUGUCCUGGUCAUGUUCAAGCUGCACAUUCUUGAACCCUCCUUCCCAAAAAUCAUCCUGUCAAAUCUGCUUAUCUGAUUCACCAUCAUCAAUCUCAUCAGACCCUUCAAUUUCAGUCCAAAAACCCAAAUGGCCAUGUAAAGCUUGUACCUUUAUGAACCCUUAUCAUAGUAUAAGUUGUGAAAUAUG
Molecule: unclassified non-coding RNA, 210 nt
Filed under: Hevea brasiliensis (rubber tree)
Lineage: Eukaryota; Viridiplantae; Streptophyta; Magnoliopsida; Malpighiales; Euphorbiaceae
Source: RNAcentral